UUUCCCGUAGGUGACUGCGGAAGGAU
RNAcentral lists this ribosomal RNA (26 nucleotides) under Pleurotus nebrodensis. RNAcentral's name for it is "partial 18S ribosomal RNA". The record is from RNAcentral. Lineage: Eukaryota; Fungi; Basidiomycota; Agaricomycetes; Agaricales; Pleurotaceae.